RNAcentral lists this ribosomal RNA (468 nucleotides) under uncultured bacterium. Its description in RNAcentral is "partial 16S ribosomal RNA". It matches the Rfam family "Bacterial small subunit ribosomal RNA", at positions 28 to 507 of the family's 1533-position model. The record is from RNAcentral.
GACGAACGCUGGCGGCGUGCUUAACACAUGCAAGUCGAACGGAAAGGCCCUGCUUUUGUGGGGUGCUCGAGUGGCGAACGGGUGAGUAACACGUGAGUAACCUGCCCUUGACUUUGGGAUAACUUCAGGAAACUGGGGCUAAUACCGGAUAGGUGCUCCUGCUGCAUGGUGGGGGUUGGAAAGUUUCGGCGGUUGGGGAUGGACUCGCGGCUUAUCAGCUUGUUGGUGGGGUAGUGGCUUACCAAGGCUUUGACGGGUAGCCGGCCUGAGAGGGUGACCGGCCACAUUGGGACUGAGGUACGGCCCAGACUCCUACGGGAGGCAGCAGUGGGGAAUAUUGCACAAUGGGCGGGAGCCUGAGGCAGCAACGCCGCGUGCGGGAUGACGGCCUUCGGGUUGUAAACCGCAUUCGCCUGUGACGAAGCGUGGGUGACGGUAAUGGGUAAAGAAGCACCGGCUAACUACGUG